UACGGAGGGGGCAAGCGUUAUUCGGAAUUAUUGGGCGUAAAGAGCUCGUAGGCGGUUUGUCGCGUCUGCUGUGAAAACCUAAGGCUCAACCUUGGGCUUGCAGUGGGUACGGGCAGACUAGAGUGCGGUAGGGGUGACUGGAAUUCCUGGUGUAGCGGUGGAAUGCGCAGAUAUCAGGAGGAACACCGAUGGCGAAGGCAGGUCACUGGGCCGCAACUGACGCUGAGGAGCGAAAGCAUGGGGAGCGAACAGG
Molecule: ribosomal RNA, 253 nt
Filed under: uncultured bacterium
Lineage: Bacteria
Description: partial 16S ribosomal RNA
Rfam family: Bacterial small subunit ribosomal RNA
Source: RNAcentral